Molecule: ribosomal RNA, 517 nt
Filed under: uncultured bacterium
Lineage: Bacteria
Description: bacterial SSU rRNA
Rfam family: Bacterial small subunit ribosomal RNA
Source: RNAcentral
UGUUUGAUCCUGGCUCAGAAUGAACGCUGGCGGCGUGCUUAACACAUGCAAGUCGAACGAGAAAGUUCCCUUCGGGGGAUAAGUAAAGUGGCGCACGGGUGAGUAACGCGUGGAUAAUCUACCCUUGAAUUCGGAAUAACAUCGCGAAAGCGGUGCUAAUACCGGAUGACGUUGUGUUUUCUGCGGAGAAUGCAACCAAAGAAUGCCUCUUCUUAGAAAGCAUUUGUUUGAGGAUGAGUCCGCGUCCCAUUAGCUAGUUGGUGGGGUAACGGCCCACCAAGGCCUUGAUGGGUAGCUGGUCUGAGAGGAUGAUCAGCCACACUGGGACUGACACACGGCCCAGACUCCUACGGGAGGCAGCAGUGAGGAAUUUUGCGCAAUGGGGGAAACCCUGACGCAGCAACGCCGCGUGAGUGAAGAAGGCCCUUGGGUCGUAAAGCUCUGUCAAUGGGGAAGAAGUUGUGUGGUUCUAAUAGGGCCAUGCAUUGACGGUACCCAUGAAGAAGCACCGUACUCC